This 301-nucleotide ribosomal RNA is filed under the name uncultured bacterium. RNAcentral's name for it is "partial 16S ribosomal RNA". It matches the Rfam family "Bacterial small subunit ribosomal RNA", at positions 509 to 807 of the family's 1533-position model. The record is from RNAcentral.
CAGUAGCCGCGGUAAUACGGAGGGAGCUAGCGUUGUUCGGAGUUACUGGGCGUAAAGCGCACGUAGGCGGCUUUGUAAGUCAGAGGUGAAAGCCUGGAGCUCAACUCCAGAACUGCCUUUGAGACUGCAUCGCUUGAAUCCAGGAGAGGUGAGUGGAAUUCCGAGUGUAGAGGUGAAAUUCGUAGAUAUUCGGAAGAACACCAGUGGCGAAGGCGGCUCACUGGACUGGUAUUGACGCUGAGGUGCGAAAGCGUGGGGAGCAAACAGGAUUAGAUACCCCGGUAGUCCCUGUCUCUUAUAC